UGGUGGAGUGAUCUGUCUGGUUAAUUCCGAUAACGAACGAGACCUUGACUUACUAAAUAGUAUUGGCAACCUUCUAAUAUGGGGGAUGGGGAAGGUUCUCUUUCGGGGGAGCUGACCUCGGAACUCUGAUGAGUUGCUAUUCUUCUUUUAUUACUUCUUAGAAGGACAGUUCGUAUCUAGCGAAAGGAAGUACAAGGCAAUAACA
Molecule: ribosomal RNA, 205 nt
Filed under: uncultured eukaryote
Lineage: Eukaryota
Description: partial 18S ribosomal RNA
Rfam family: Eukaryotic small subunit ribosomal RNA
Source: RNAcentral